This 529-nucleotide ribosomal RNA is filed under the name uncultured Glomeromycotina. RNAcentral's name for it is "SSU rRNA". It matches the Rfam family "Eukaryotic small subunit ribosomal RNA", at positions 569 to 1092 of the family's 1831-position model. The record is from RNAcentral. Lineage: Eukaryota; Fungi; Glomeromycota.
AGCAGCCGCGGUAAUUCCAGCUCCAAUAGCGUAUAUUAAAGUUGUUGCAGUUAAAAAGCUCGUAGUUGAAUUUCGGGAUUGGCGCAUCGGUCGUGCCUCACGGGGUAUGAACUGGUGCAGUCAAUUUCUCACCUUCUGGAGAACCGCGAUGUCCUUAAUUGGAUGCCGCGGGGAACCAGGACCUUUACUUUGAAAAAAUUAGAGUGUUUAAAGCAGGCAUUUUUGCUUGAAUACAUUAGCAUGGAAUAAUAAAAUAGGACGGCAUGGUUCUAUUUUGUUGGUUUCUAGGACCACCGUAAUGAUUAAUAGGGAUAGUUGGGGGCAUUAGUAUUCAAUUGUCAGAGGUGAAAUUCUUGGAUUUAUUGAAGACUAACUACUGCGAAAGCAUUUGCCAAGGAUGUUUUCAUUAAUCAAGAACGAAAGCUAGGGGAUCGAAGACGAUCAGAUACCGUCGUAGUCUUAACCAUAAACUAUGCCGACUAGGAAUCAGACGAUGUUAAUUCUUUAAUGACUCGUUUGGCACCUUACG